RNAcentral lists this ribosomal RNA (253 nucleotides) under uncultured bacterium. RNAcentral's name for it is "partial 16S ribosomal RNA". It matches the Rfam family "Bacterial small subunit ribosomal RNA", at positions 524 to 776 of the family's 1533-position model. The record is from RNAcentral.
UACGAAGGGGGCUAGCGUUGCUCGGAAUCACUGGGCGUAAAGGGUGCGUAGGCGGGUCUUUAAGUCAGGGGUGAAAUCCUGGAGCUCAACUCCAGAACUGCCUUUGAUACUGAGGAUCUUGAGUUCGGGAGAGGUGAGUGGAACUGCGAGUGUAGAGGUGAAAUUCGUAGAUAUUCGCAAGAACACCAGUGGCGAAGGCGGCGCUCUGGCUCGCAACUGACGCUCAGACACGACAGCAUGGGGAGCGAACGGG